AGACCCGAAACCCGGUGAUCUAGCCAUGGGCAGGUUGAAGGUUGGGUAACACUAACUGGAGGACCGAACCGACUAAUGUUGAAAAAUUAGCGGAUGACCUGUGGCUGGGGGUGAAAGGCCAAUCAAACCGGGAGAUAGCUGGUUCUCCCCGAAAGCUAUUUAGGUAGCGCCUCGUGAAUUCAUCUCCGGGGGUAGAGCACUGUUUCGGCUAGGGGGCCAUCCCGGCUUACCAACCCGAUGCAAACUGCGAAUACCGGAGAAUGUUAUCACGGGAGACACACGGCGGGUGCUAACGUCCGUCGUGAAGAGGGAAACAACCCAGACCGCCAGCUAAGGUCCCAAAGUCAUGGUUAAGUGGGAAACGAUGUGGGAAGGCCCAGACAGCCAGGAUGUUGGCUUAGAAGCAGCCAUCAUUUAAAGAAAGCGUAAUAGCUCACUGGUCGAGUCGGCCUGCGCGGAAGAUGUAACGGGGCUAAACCAUGCACCGAAGCUGCGGCAGCGAACGUAUCACUUAAAGCGAUUCAGCGGGUUACGAUUGACGGAGCGAAGCGACGUCAAAGCGUAUACAAAGUCGAGUCGGUUUAAGGAUACGUUCGUUGGGUAGGGGAGCGUUCUGUAAGCCUGUGAAGGUGGCCUGUGAGGGUUGCUGGAGGUAUCAGAAGUGCGAAUGCUGACAUAAGUAACGAUAAAGCGGGUGAAAAGCCCGCUCGCCGGAAGACCAAGGGUUCCUGUCCAACGUUAAUCGGGGCAGGGUGAGUCGACCCCUAAGGCGAGGCCGAAAGGCGUAGUCGAUGGGAAACGGGUUAAUAUUCCCGUACUUGGUGUUACUGCGAAGGGGGGACGGAGAAGGCUAUGUUGGCCGGGCGACGGUUGUCCCGGUUUAAGCGUGUAGGUGUGUGUUCCAGGUAAAUCCGGUUCACUUUAACACUGAGGCGUGACGACGAGGCACUACGGUGCUGAAGCAACAAAUGCCCUGCUUCCAGGAAAAGCCUCUAAGCAUCAGGUAACAUCAAAUCGUACCCCAAACCGACACAGGUGGUCAGGUAGAGAAUACCAAGGCGCUUGAGAGAACUCGGGUGAAGGAACUAGGCAAAAUGGUGCCGUAACUUCGGGAGAAGGCACGCUGACACGUAGGUGAAGUGAUUUACUCAUGGAGCUGAAGUCAGUCGAAGAUACCAGCUGGCUGCAACUGUUUAUUAAAAACACAGCACUGUGCAAACACGAAAGUGGACGUAUACGGUGUGACGCCUGCCCGGUGCCGGAAGGUUAAUUGAUGGGGUCAGCGCAAGCGAAGCUCCUGAUCGAAGCCCCGGUAAACGGCGGCCGUAACUAUAACGGUCCUAAGGUAGCGAAAUUCCUUGUCGGGUAAGUUCCGACCUGCACGAAUGGCGUAAUGAUGGCCAGGCUGUCUCCACCCGAGACUCAGUGAAAUUGAACUCGCUGUGAAGAUGCAGUGUACCCGCGGCAAGACGGAAAGACCCCGUGAACCUUUACUAUAGCUUGACACUGAACAUUGAGCCUUGAUGUGUAGGAUAGGUGGGAGGCUUUGAAGUGUGGACGCCAGUCUGCAUGGAGCCGGCCUUGAAAUACCACCCUUUAAUGUUUGAUGUUCUAACGUGGACCCGU
This 1626-nucleotide ribosomal RNA is filed under the name Salmonella enterica. RNAcentral's name for it is "partial 23S ribosomal RNA". It matches the Rfam family "Bacterial large subunit ribosomal RNA", at positions 711 to 2236 of the family's 2925-position model. The record is from RNAcentral. Lineage: Bacteria; Pseudomonadati; Pseudomonadota; Gammaproteobacteria; Enterobacterales; Enterobacteriaceae. RNAcentral also lists the same sequence under 1 other name.